RNAcentral lists this ribosomal RNA (301 nucleotides) under uncultured bacterium. Its description in RNAcentral is "partial 16S ribosomal RNA". It matches the Rfam family "Bacterial small subunit ribosomal RNA", at positions 509 to 809 of the family's 1533-position model. The record is from RNAcentral.
CAGUCGCCGCGGUAAAACGUAGGUGGCAAGCGUUGUCCGGAAUUAUUGGGCGUAAAGGGCUCGCAGGCGGUUUCUUAAGUCUGAUGUGAAAGCCCCCGGCUCAACCGGGGAGGGUCAUUGGAAACUGGGAAACUUGAGUGCAGAAGAGGAGAGUGGAAUUCCACGUGUAGCGGUGAAAUGCGUAGAGAUGUGGAGGAACACCAGUGGCGAAGGCGACUCUCUGGUCUGUAACUGACGCUGAGGAGCGAAAGCGUGGGGAGCGAACAGGAUUAGAUACCCGUGUAGUCCCUGUCUCUUAUAU